GUACAUUAAUGCCAUCCCAGAGGGAGGAGCUGCAGUAGCAGCCAGCAUACAAAAAAUCAAAGAUUCAUCAUAAAUACAACUUACCGCAGAGCUGCAAAUGAGACCAUUUGCAUUAUAAGGCCAAUUUUAUGCCUUCUCUGUACUAAUGAUAGGUCUUAACAAAACCCGAUCAACCCAAAUGUAUUCUGUCUCUAUGCUCACUCACAGAGCUGAUUGUAAUCUCAGCAAGAAGCUCCUGUCUACAGCAGCAGCUUAGAUACAAGUAUUUCUCUCCAAAGUGUUUUGAGGAUAUGUUCAGAUAGUGUCAUCUCCUAUCUCUGCCAUCAGAUCAAGGUGGUGAGAGCUCUUUGUGCAGCUCAGAAAUCCCUUUUUAACAAUCAGGAGUACAAAUUGUCCAUCUCGCUUUUUUGUCCUGCUUUGUUUUUCUUCCUUUGUUCUGAUGCUUGAACUCCUGAUAAAGCUGUCCUGGUUUAAUGUAACCUACAGACUGACCACUGGGCUGUUUUCUGUUUGUUGAAAAAAGGAAACGAUGUUGAGACACGAAUCUGACUGCAACUCCUCUGAACUAACAUUUGGACCUCACCUUCUGAGUUUCUUCCUGUGCCUCCCCUGGUAUGUCUGGCAGGAUCAGCYGUGGAAGAGCCCUUCCUGACUGUAGUGCUGUGCUUCCAAGCAGUGCUGUAGCAAGUCUGUUCAGGAAUACUUGAAUCGUAGUACUGAGCCAGGCUGUGGAUUCAGGUACCAUCCUUCACCUGAUUAUGCUGGUCAGUCAUGAUGGCCAUACAUCUACCUCUUUUUAAAUAAAAGCCUAGAUUUUGCGCA
RNAcentral lists this long non-coding RNA (822 nucleotides) under Dromaius novaehollandiae (emu). Its description in RNAcentral is "lncRNA (ENSDNVG00000001456.1)". The record is from RNAcentral. Lineage: Eukaryota; Metazoa; Chordata; Aves; Casuariiformes; Dromaiidae.